UUCCGGUGACACGAACUCUGUUC
This 23-nucleotide non-coding RNA is filed under the name Arabidopsis thaliana (thale cress). The record is from RNAcentral. Lineage: Eukaryota; Viridiplantae; Streptophyta; Magnoliopsida; Brassicales; Brassicaceae.